UGGGGAAUUUUGCACAAUGGGGGCAACCCUGAUGCAGCGACGCCGCGUGAUUUAGAAGGCCUUCGGGUUGUAAAAAUCUUUUCUAUGGGAAGAAAAUGACAGUACCAUAGGAAUAAGGACCGGCUAAUUACGUGCCAGCAGCCGCGGUAAUACGUAGGUCCCGAGCGUUGUCCGGAUUUAUUGGGCGUAAAGCGAGCGCAGGCGGUUAGAAAAGUCUGAAGUGAAAGGCAGUGGCUCAACCAUUGUAGGCUUUGGAAACUGUUUAACUUGAGUGCAGAAGGGGAGAGUGGAAUUCCAUGUGUAGCGGUGAAAUGCGUAGAUAUAUGGAGGAACACCGGUGGCGAAAGCGGCUCUCUGGUCUGUAACUGACGCUGAGGCUCGAAAGCGUGGGGAGCGAACAGG
RNAcentral lists this ribosomal RNA (402 nucleotides) under Verrucomicrobiota bacterium. RNAcentral describes it as "Verrucomicrobia bacterium partial 16S ribosomal RNA". It matches the Rfam family "Bacterial small subunit ribosomal RNA", at positions 355 to 776 of the family's 1533-position model. Lineage: Bacteria; Pseudomonadati; Verrucomicrobiota. The record is from RNAcentral.